This is a long non-coding RNA of Brassica napus (rape), 1823 nucleotides long. RefSeq lists it as uncharacterized. The transcript has 4 exons. The record is from RefSeq and is a predicted model, not a curated record. Lineage: Eukaryota; Viridiplantae; Streptophyta; Magnoliopsida; Brassicales; Brassicaceae.
UUUGUUAACAUGAUUUUUGUAAACAAAAAAUCCUUCGAUGAAAAAAAACAAAAGGUCCUCUCUGCAAAACAAAAAAAAAUGACGAUUGAGAGUUCUAGAUCCACCGACAAAAGCUUAUCUUCUCCGAGCUCUACCAAUAAUGUUUCCAAUGUCGAUCUGAAGCGAUCUGAGUUAAAAACGAUAAGUCGGAGAAGGAUAUUGACUUCACCUUUCCCAUCUAUACAACGAAGUCACAAGUUCUGAAGAAAAAAAAAAUGUGUUCGAAUAUGAACUGAAGCAUUAAAAAUCGGAUCUUGUUGAAAUCGAUUGAGAAAAGCUUUGGAAGAAACAUCCAAAAGAUGUUACACCGUCUAAAGACAUAAACAUAACAAAACUGUAAAGGUCUAACAUGAAAAUUCUGAAUGUUUCUCCAUACUACAACGGAAGACGCCUCCCUUUACUCUCAAUGUAAGUCAUUUUACACGUUGCGUGAAUCUUAUCACCCUUGCACUUGUAAUAAAUCAGAUUGAAAAUAUUAAGAGCACAGUCGAACUUUUAAAUAAGACAUAAACAACAAAAUAUACAUAUUUCAAAACCAUAAAUAGGCAGUUACGAUUGCUUACAUUCUCAUAAAGAUGAAUUCCAUGGUUUCACCUAAUAGUUGAAUGUUUUGGACCCAAGAGCGUAGAACCUUCACAUGAACUAAUUUAGUAGUGUGCCAGGGCCGCAAGUCUUGAAUGGUCACUUUUUCAUUAGAAGCACGCCAUGUUUGGAUUUGCUUUUGUGUAGCCAUUGCGUUGUUUGACGGUGUGGGUUUGAUUAGGAAGAUGUGAUUGCUAUUUAUAAUAGGAAGAGGUUGAAGGGAGAGGUGUUUAGGUUUUCCGUGAAACUUGUUGCAUACUCUAGAUCGUAUCUCUCGAGAUUUUGUGGUUUUGAUUUCGAUAUCAAUAAUUGUUAAUAUUAGGAAGGUUCAGUUAAAAAUUCGAAAUCCCAAGAUAUUCUAUGGGUAUUGCACAAGCAAUGUGAUUAUAUUGAAUUCUUUGAAGCGUGAUUUUAGCCAAAAAAUAUAAUCUAUUUCUCUAUAUUUUGGGUUACAUUUAAUAUAGGUAUAUGAAAUAGGGAAGCUUUGCCAUAAUAUAAUUUUUUUUAAUUUCUAAUAGGAAGAGAAAAUUACAGAAUGAGUUAAAGAAUAUACUUGGAAUAGAUUUGGUAUCCAAAUGAUAUUUUUAAUAUAUAUUUUUAAAUACUAUUUAUAAUUACACUAAAAAGCAAGAAAAUUCAGUGGCAUUUCAAAUGUAAUUAUAUGUUUUUGAAUUGAUUACGAAAAUUAGGGGAUGAGUUGAAAAAAUUAUAGUUCAAAUAGAAAAAAUAUUUAUUUAAAAAUAUUGUUAUUAGAUUUUUAAAUAAUUAUUGUUAUAAAAAAUUCGAAAUAUACCAUAGUAACUUGUGGUCAAUAUUUUAAUAAUUUUGGUUUGAUUAAAGUGUCCACCAUUACAUAUUGCAUUUUGUAAAGGAAUCAUAACAUAUAUAUGUAGGUGUCAUGCAUCAUCUAAAUAAGCUUAUUGUGAACAUUGAUUUACAUUUAUGUUUAUCUAUAUGUUAUAUUCAUCUUCGUUAGUGUUUUCAUUUCAGGGUAUAUAGGGUUUGUCAAAAAAAAAAGAUGCUUUCGAUGGGGUUUAAAUGGUAUAGGGUUUGAUCAUGAAGAUGAUUUCGGUGGGCUGGACAUUUAUUUCUGUUUGGAUUUUAAAAAAGUACAGGUUACUCUGCAGUGGGUUUAAAUAAUUUUGAUAGGCUGUAAAAAUCGAAUACUUCUGAUUGAUCUAAAAUAAUUGGCGACAUUUAUU